UCAAUUGAAUAAAUAAAACCAUCAUGUGAUCUCUUAGGAAGGAAGUGAUAAUACCUAGGCGAGGAGACAAUAAGAACAAAUUAUCAGAUUAGUUGAUGUUUAAAUCUUUGCUUUCUCUGCAAGAUUUAAAAUUAUGCUACUUUGUUACAAAGAAGGAAUUUAUUUCUUAGUUAAAGAAAAACCUCAGAUUUUUAGCCUUAUAAUUAGUUUUCCUAAAACCAAUUAGCAAACAUUGGUCUUUUCUACAAUUGACAGACUUUUUCUUUUCCCUUUCUAGAAUUGCUACUUGAUCUGCUUCAGUUUGAAAUAUCUGGAGGAUGGAUGAUUACUUGGCCAUGGUUACCUAUGAACUGAAAAAAAUUCCCAAGCACAUCAUAAACAACCUUUCAGAAUCCCAAGAUGAGGAUCACUAUGUCCAUGUCAAAAUUUUGAGACAACUCUGAAGACUUUCAUCAGUUUCCAGUUCCAUGGACCGAAUCAACUAUAUGAAAGUUGUGAGAUUGAAAUACAAGUUCGUGAUUAGUGAAAAUAAAAAUUUUCAAUUUACAUAAAAUCAUAAA
Molecule: long non-coding RNA, 560 nt
Organism: Rattus norvegicus (Norway rat)
Lineage: Eukaryota; Metazoa; Chordata; Mammalia; Rodentia; Muridae
Source: RefSeq, a predicted model, not a curated record